GUUCUGCCAAUUCAUUGCUUGCGGCUUCACUUCAGGGCCAGGCGUCUCCUCCUGCUGCUUUUGGCUGAGUGAAGUUGCGAGGCUGUUUUCCCUGCAGCAGUACUCCAGCGUCCGCUCAGGUGCCAAGUGUUGUGCCCCAGUGUCAGGAAAGAUGACUAAUUCACAAAUGGAGCAGUCUCCUGGAUUAUGGCAGUGAACCAGGAGCUGGAACCCAAAGUAUGAACUCCUCAGGCUUGGCCAAUGCUAUUGUCACUACUGAUACCAGCCUUCAGGGGAGUUGGAGUCAGCAGAAAGGAGCACUAACUUCUGGGAGGGAAAGAAAAUGCAGUGACCACCUAUGGCUUCACCUGCAAAGCGCCCAGAGGCAUCUGCCCCUACUGGCUCCAGGUAGCCUAAGAUGGACCUAAGUCACCUGAGAUUUGAUGGGAAGUAAUGGCUGGAAUGGUUGCUGUCACCCCAAGUUCACGUCAGAAGAUUCCACACUGUAACCCAGAAACGAAAAGAAGCUCAUUGUGAUUCUGUUGAGCAGACCCUGGAGGGAGUCCCCCCCCCCCAGGAAUGGACCGAGAGGCUGUGGACACAGAGAGGCUGGGGUCCCCCAGAACUGUCGGGGGCCUCCUCUCUUCAGACACCCGUGUGGGUGGGCCUGCUUUGUCUCUGUCCCCAUAACAAGAAGCUUGCAGAAGGGCGUGAAGGUGGGUCUGACCCUCAGGUGUGACCUGCGGAAGCUCUUUUACUCUGAACAGUGACCCCCAUCCAUCAAGCGGAAACUUAACUUUGAGUGAGAACCUCCCCCUGGACCCUUCAGGCACUAAAAAUGGCUCAAAUCAGACCUGCUGAAAGUGACUUCCCCCUCUCCCUUUCUCCUCACAGAGCUAAAGAUUGCUUUGAAAAGUUCAUUGAAAAGACUGAAUAAU
Molecule: long non-coding RNA, 917 nt
Organism: Cavia porcellus (domestic guinea pig)
Lineage: Eukaryota; Metazoa; Chordata; Mammalia; Rodentia; Caviidae
Exons: 4
Source: RefSeq, a predicted model, not a curated record